AAAACCGCGAUAUUUGUUAACUUCUGUGUACUAGAUUCACAGGUGUUGCAAUACCAGUUAUUGGAGCUCAAGUUUUCAAGGGUCGACCACAAGUUUUGUGAUUAAAAAUAAACCCGAAAAAACCUAACAUGGACAAAACAGAAAUGCAGCCGGAAUCCCACGCAGCCUGUUCUGGUGAGAACGGCAACGUGGUUAACGGAGCCCAGCCUAAUGAAGCAGGGAUGAACUCCAGCAGCGAUCAUCUGGUAUCAAGGAAUACUAACGCCUCGGUCCAUAUACACCCUCGGACUGACUGGCCGGUCCUUAUAUUGUCAAAUGACCAUCAGCGAUAACUAGAUUGAACAAGGCGGGUGCUUUUUCAACCAACACCAAACCAGUUUUGUUUUGUAGUACAUUGGUUGGUGUAUGCGGUAGGUCAUACAUUUAAUUGCAAAGAACGCCUCUUCAUCCGAAAACGAUGCCGAUGUACUAGUCAAGGCCCUAGUUACGAUAUUUGACCGUGAAUACUCGGAGGCUGAAAUCAGGCUAAGCAUCAACAUAUAUGAGAAGAGGCGUAAGAUGAGGUACAGCAGGGGUCAUUCGGAAGAGAUCGUGGAAAUUAUGGAUGAGAUGAGAGAAGGCCAGUCCCAACCAUCCGGUGUUUAAACCAUCCAGUAGAUAUGCAGAGGGUGCGAGCAAAACAGCAACAUUAAUAAAUACUAAGUUAAUUCAAUUUAAAAAUAAAUGCGAGAUAUUUGCAUUGGAUACCAUCUGAAAGUAUGGUGAUUUAUAAUGCGUAACAAGUGACUCAAAAGUAAUUAUAGCUGUAUUGUAAUUUGUAACAGUAACAUACCUCUAAGAUGUAUAUCAUUUAACUGUGAAUGUUCUACCUGCCCAAAUAUCAACUAAAUAAUUUAAUGAUGCGUUUAUCUUUAAAUUGUGUUCAUUAAUAAGAUCAAAUGCUUGCAUUAGAAAAACAUGAAAGAAAAGACCAGAACCACUUACUUCAGGAAUAUGCACAUUAUUAUACCCGAAUUAACAUUACGAAAUACAUUGGGUAUUUAUCUAAAGAAAAGCUAUUUAUCUGUCCAUAGAAAGCUGUUUAUUCCCAUAAAAAUAUUAAAUUUG
RNA transcript from Mya arenaria, 1107 nucleotides. RefSeq lists it as uncharacterized. The transcript has 10 exons. The record is from RefSeq and is a predicted model, not a curated record. Lineage: Eukaryota; Metazoa; Mollusca; Bivalvia; Myida; Myidae.